UACAGAGGUCUCAAGCGUUGUUCGGAUUCAUUGGGCGUAAAGGGUGCGUAGGCGGCGCGGUAAGUCGGGUGUGAAAUCUCGGAGCUUAACUCCGAAACUGCAUUCGAUACUGCCGUGCUUGAGGACUGGAGAGGAGACUGGAAUUUACGGUGUAGCGGUGAAAUGCGUAGAUAUCGUAAGGAAGACCAGUGGCGAAGGCGGGUCUCUGGGCAGUAACUGACGCUGAGGAGCGAAAGCAUGGGGAGCGAACAGG
Molecule: ribosomal RNA, 253 nt
Filed under: uncultured bacterium
Lineage: Bacteria
Description: partial 16S ribosomal RNA
Rfam family: Bacterial small subunit ribosomal RNA
Source: RNAcentral